AUUGAACGCUGGCGGCAGGCUUAACACAUGCAAGUCGAGCGGGGUGAUGGUGCUUGCACUAUCACUUAGCGGCGGACGGGUGAGUAAUGCUUAGGAAUCUGCCUAUUAGUGGGGGACAACAUCUCGAAAGGGAUGCUAAUACCGCAUACGUCCUACGGGAGAAAGCAGGGGAUCACUUGUGACCUUGCGCUAAUAGAUGAGCCUAAGUCGGAUUAGCUAGUUGGUGGGGUAAAGGCCUACCAAGGCGACGAUCUGUAGCGGGUCUGAGAGGAUGAUCCGCCACACUGGGAAUGAGACACGGCACAGACUCCUACGGGAGGCAGCAGUGGGGAAUAUUGGACAAUGGGGGGAACCCUGAUCCAGCCAUGCCGCGUGUGUGAAGAAGGCCUUAUGGUUGUAAAGCACUUUAAGCGAGGAGGAGGCUCUUUUGGUUAAUACCCAAGAUGAGUGGACGUUACUCGCAGAAUAAGCACCGGCUAACUCUGUGCCAGCAGCCGCGGUAA
This 503-nucleotide ribosomal RNA is filed under the name uncultured bacterium. RNAcentral's name for it is "partial 16S ribosomal RNA". It matches the Rfam family "Bacterial small subunit ribosomal RNA", at positions 30 to 523 of the family's 1533-position model. The record is from RNAcentral.